Molecule: non-coding RNA, 80 nt
Organism: Dovyalis caffra
Lineage: Eukaryota; Viridiplantae; Streptophyta; Magnoliopsida; Malpighiales; Salicaceae
Source: the annotation of a GenBank genome assembly
GUUAGCAUGGCAGAGUGGUCUAAGGCAUCGGAUUGAGCAUCCGAUCCAAAGGGAUGUGGGUUUAAGUCUCACUUUUGACA